RNAcentral lists this non-coding RNA (22 nucleotides) under Rattus norvegicus (Norway rat). The record is from RNAcentral. Lineage: Eukaryota; Metazoa; Chordata; Mammalia; Rodentia; Muridae.
AAAAGAACCUACAAAGCAGCCC